RNAcentral lists this ribosomal RNA (491 nucleotides) under uncultured bacterium. Its description in RNAcentral is "bacterial SSU rRNA". It matches the Rfam family "Bacterial small subunit ribosomal RNA", at positions 63 to 598 of the family's 1533-position model. The record is from RNAcentral.
CGAGCGGGCGUAGCAAUACGUCAGCGGCAGACGGGUGAGUAACGCGUGGGAACGUACCUUUUGGUUCGGAACAACACAGGGAAACUUGUGCUAAUACCGGAUAAGCCCUUACGGGGAAAGAUUUAUCGCCGAAAGAUCGGCCCGCGUCUGAUUAGCUAGUUGGUAGGGUAAUGGCCUACCAAGGCGACGAUCAGUAGCUGGUCUGAGAGGAUGAUCAUCCACAUUGGGACUGAGACACGGCCCAAACUCCUACGGGAGGCAGCAGUGGGGAAUAUUGGACAAUGGGGGCAACCCUGAUCCAGCCAUGCCGCGUGAGUGAUGAAGGCCCUAGGGUUGUAAAGCUCUUUUGUGCGGGAAGAUAAUGACGGUACCGCAAGAAUAAGCCCCGGCUAACUUCGUGCCAGCAGCCGCGGUAAUACGAAGGGGGCUAGCGUUGCUCGGAAUCACUGGGCGUAAAGGGUGCGUAGGCGGGUUUUUAAGUCAGGGGUGAA